This 401-nucleotide ribosomal RNA is filed under the name uncultured bacterium. RNAcentral describes it as "bacterial SSU rRNA". It matches the Rfam family "Bacterial small subunit ribosomal RNA", at positions 917 to 1322 of the family's 1533-position model. The record is from RNAcentral.
GGGCCCGCACAAGCGGUGGAGCAUGUGGUUUAAUUCGAUGAUACGCGAGGAACCUUACCAGGGCUUAAAUGGGAAAUGACAGGGGCAGAGACGCCCCCUUCUUCGGACGGUCUGCAAGGUGCUGCAUGGUUGUCGUCAGCUCGUGCUGUGAAGUGUCGGGUUAAGUCCCAUAACGAGCGCAACCCCUAUUUCUAGUUGCCAGCGGUUCGGCCGGGGACUCUAGAGAAACUGCCAGCGUAAGCUGUGAGGAAGGUGGGGAUGACGUCAAAUCAUCACGGCCCUUACGUCCUGGGCCACACACGUGCUACAAUGGUGGGGACAACGAGUCGCUAACCCGCGAGGGUAAGCUAAUCUUCAAACCCCAUCUCAGUUCGGAUCGGAGUCUGCAACUCGACUCCGUG